UUUGAGAGUUUGAUCCUGGCUCAGGAUGAACGCUGGCGGCGUGCCUAACACAUGCAAGUUGAGCGAUUUACUUCGGUAAAGAGCGGCGGACGGGCGAGUAACGCGUGGGUAACCUACCCUGUACACACGGAUAACAUACCGAAAGGUAUGCUAAUACGGGAUAAUAUAUUGGAGAGGCAUCUCUUGAAUAUCAAAGGUGAGCCAGUACAGGAUGGACCCGCGUCUGAUUAGCUAGUUGGUAAGGUAACGGCUUACCAAGGCGACGAUCAGUAGCCGACCUGAGAGGGUGAUCGGCCACAUUGGAACUGAGACACGGUCCAAACUCCUACGGGAGGCAGCAGUGGGGAAUAUUGCACAAUGGGCGAAAGCCUGAUGCAGCAACGCCGCGU
RNAcentral lists this ribosomal RNA (389 nucleotides) under Clostridioides difficile. RNAcentral's name for it is "bacterial SSU rRNA". It matches the Rfam family "Bacterial small subunit ribosomal RNA", at positions 1 to 402 of the family's 1533-position model. Lineage: Bacteria; Bacillati; Bacillota; Clostridia; Peptostreptococcales; Peptostreptococcaceae. The record is from RNAcentral.